CUCUCUCUCUCUAUCUAUAUACAAAGUGUUAAAAUUGUCUUCCAAUGAAUACAACAGGAAAAGGCCUGGCAGUCCGGACUAUACUUCCUCUGGAAAUAUCUUAUAAUAUCACUGAACAGACCUUGACAAUAGCCAGCAGCAAAGCACUUUAUGCAGAGUCGGAUUGAAGCGUUCUGUCAGAAAGUGUACUGCAUCUAACGAAAAUUACACAGGCGGGCUCAACUUUUUAAACCGUUCCUAUCAAAUCAAAUCAAUCAAUAACAGGUAAGGACAACCAACAAGCUUUAGAUCAGUGGUCGGUGGUCAUCAAACUGUGAGAUUUGAGUUUGAAUCAUAGUUAAUGCCAAUUGCACCAAGAAGAAAAAAAAAUGGUGAGGUCAAACAAUCACGCACAUCCUUCGUCCACGUUAGAAAUACAGCAAAAUAGCUCCACUUAGGAGACGACAGUGGAUUCCUUAUGCCUUGGCAUCAUAAAAACCAAUUGCAACUUGCCUGCCUGACAUUGUUUUGCAGGAUUUUGGAAUAAUGUGACCUUUGCUGUAUUAUUACUUAGAAGAACCACAUGAGCAAUGCUAUAAGAAUCACCUUUUUCAACUGCAAAUUGCCACUCUCUCAUUGAUAUGAUGAACCAGUCCUUCCUUGCAGAUUUUGUUGCUUUUACUUCGAAGUACUCUUUCCUAUUUUCCUCCUCCUCUAUAACUAUAUCAUAGGGCAACCCAGUUUCUUUGUCUUCAUUAACCCACUUCACUACUUUCUCACCAAAUUUUUCAGUUAAAUAUUUGAAAGCUACACGCUCCCCCAGUCUUCCAGUAAGCAGUAAUUGUGCGGCAUUAGCAGUCCCAGUGUUCAACUUCUCUCUCCUGAGUUCAGGGACAUCAGCAAUGAGAGUUAAGCCAAUAGGGUCAGAUGCAAAAUCCAAAUUUACAGUCUGAUUGCAAGCAUGAGCAGAAUGUUUGUCCACACUUUCAGAGUCUGGUAAAAUUGAUCCUGCCGUGUCCUCUUCUAUGGUCCAAUCUGUAUCAAUCUCAAUUGGCACCGAGGUAUCUGUUUGAAUGAUAAUGUCCUCUGAAUCAUCCUCCUCAGUCUUGCAUGAACUGCUAGGAUGCGAUACAACGGCCUGAGUUUUAAAACCAUUUGCACGAGCAUAACCAAAACCUGGUGCAGUUUUCCAAUCCACAGGUGGCCAAUUAGAGCUGAUUCCCACUUUCCUCUUGUACUUAGACAUCUUCUGAUCAUUUAUUGCUGUUGAUGCAGUACCUAUCUUAAGUGAUUCAUCAUUCUCUGUCAAAGUACAAAUAGAUGAGAGUGACCAAGCAGAUUCAUCAUCAGGAAGCUUUGGCACCUUUUGGCUGUUUACAAUGAAGAACUCUGUUUGGUCUUCUGUGGAGCCAGAUUCUACCAUUGUUGUGAUCAUAUGAAGGAAAUUUGCCAAGUGUAAAUCUGAAGUACCCUCAAAGAACAAACGAGAAAGCUCCAAAAAGAGCACAUGUGAAUCUGAUUCCGAAGUUGUGUACAAUGUAUUACCCUGCAGAAGACAGCUACAUUCAUAUCGCUUCUUAGAUGCACUGCCACAGCUUUUUAUCACAUUCCUGUAGAAUAACUUCUCAACAACAGUA
Molecule: unclassified non-coding RNA, 1616 nt
Filed under: Hevea brasiliensis (rubber tree)
Lineage: Eukaryota; Viridiplantae; Streptophyta; Magnoliopsida; Malpighiales; Euphorbiaceae
Source: RNAcentral